This 85-nucleotide transfer RNA is filed under the name Methylacidiphilales bacterium. RNAcentral describes it as "Candidatus Methylacidiphilales bacterium tRNA-Leu". It matches the Rfam family "tRNA". From Rfam's summary of the family: Transfer RNA (tRNA) molecules are approximately 80 nucleotides in length. The record is from RNAcentral. Lineage: Bacteria; Pseudomonadati; Verrucomicrobiota; Methylacidiphilae; Methylacidiphilales.
GCCCGAGUGAUGGAAUGGCAGACAUACAGGACUUAAAAUCCUGAGGAGGGAAACCUCCGUGCGGGUUCGACUCCCGCCUCGGGCA